Long non-coding RNA from Gossypium arboreum, 287 nucleotides. RefSeq lists it as uncharacterized. The transcript is spliced from 2 exons. The record is from RefSeq and is a predicted model, not a curated record. NCBI's taxonomy places the organism in Eukaryota, Viridiplantae, Streptophyta, Magnoliopsida, Malvales, Malvaceae.
GUGUGUAACUAACACCCUCUUUCUUAGUCUGGAUCGGCAAAAGUCGAAAAGCCAAAAUGCCGAAAACCGGUAUUUUGUAGAUUUGCGAGUGUGCGAAUGCUCGUGAGGUAAUCCCCAACCAUAGUGGGCUUGGAGCUGUGAGGGAAUUCGGAGUGGCCACCCGUUCUGAAAGUUUGAUUUUCUUCUGAUGAACUGGACAUCCUUUUAUUUACGUUUGAAGUUUUGGGUUUUUAAAUGUAAUAAGGCCGCUUAAUUAUUUUUGAUGGUUUUAAUAUGUAUUACUAAAA